UGCAGUCGAACGGUAACAUUGGUGCUUGCACCAGAUGACGAGUGGCGCACGGGUGCGUAACGCGUAUGCAAUCUACCUUUUACUAGAGUAUAGCCCAGAGAAAUUUGGAUUAAUCCUCUAUAAUAUCUUUUAAUUUCAUGAUUUUAAGAUUAAAGUUUUAACGGUAAAAGAUGAGCAUGCGUCCUAUUAGUUUGUAGGUGAGGUAACGGCUCACCUAGACUACGAUAGGUAGGGGCCCUGAGAGGGGGAUCCCCCACACUGGUACUGAGACACGGACCAGACUCCUACGGGAGGCAGCAGUAAGGAAUAUUGGACAAUGGACGAAAGUCUGAUCCAGCCAUGCCGCGUGCAGGAUGAAAGCCCUACGGGUUGUAAACUGCUUUUAUACAGGAAGAAACACUCCGACGUGUCGGAGCUUGACGGUACUGUAAGAAUAAGGAUCGGCUAACUCCGUGCCAGCAGCCGCGGUAAUACGGAGGAUCCAAGCGUUAUCCGGAAUCAUUGGGUUUAAAGGGUCCGCAGGCUGUUUUUUAAGUCAGAGGUGAAAUCCUACAGCUCAACUGUAGAACUGCCUUUGAUACUGAAAAACUUGAGUUAUUGUGAAGUGGUUAGAAUGUGUGGUGUAGCGGUGAAAUGCAUAGAUAUCACACAGAAUACCGAUUGCGAAGGCAGAUCACUAACAAUAUACUGACGCUCAUGGACGAAAGCGUGGGGAGCGAACAGGAUUAGAUACCCUGGUAGUCCGCGCCGUAAACGAUGGAUACUAGCUGUUCGUCUAACAUUGGUUAGAUGAGUGGCUAAGCGAAAGUGAUAAGUAUCCCACCUGGGGAGUACGGUCGCAAGACUGAAACUCAAAGGAAUUGACGGGGGCCCGCACAAGCGGUGGAGCAUGUGGUUUAAUUCGAUGAUACGCGAGGAACCUUACCAGGGCUUAAAUGUAGUGGGACAG
Molecule: ribosomal RNA, 949 nt
Filed under: uncultured bacterium
Lineage: Bacteria
Description: bacterial SSU rRNA
Rfam family: Bacterial small subunit ribosomal RNA
Source: RNAcentral